Molecule: long non-coding RNA, 2327 nt
Filed under: Homo sapiens (human)
Lineage: Eukaryota; Metazoa; Chordata; Mammalia; Primates; Hominidae
Description: HSALNT0342012
Source: RNAcentral
AUUCCCUCCACAGCCAGUAUAGGUGAAAGCAUCACAGGUUCUGUAUCUUGGAUUAAAAUAAUAGCGAGUCACAUUGGCAGAGCACAGUCCCUCAUCUUUUGGACUGUAGCAAAAUGAUGGAACUUUAUAAAAAAGAGAAGAAAUUUUCUUUGGUGCGCAGAAGCCCAUACAAGUAGCUUCAUCUGGAAACCUGUUCUCAAUCCGGUUCCGGUGACACCCACCGGAAAAGAAUUUUUCACAUGUCAUGGAACUUAGAUUAAAGAAAUACUUUUCUGUGGACCCCUCACACUGGUCGUCCACACUCACUUGCAGCCGGCAAACUUUGGGAACUUCUAGGAAAAGGAGGGUAAUAGAACAAUGUUAGUCAAAAGUAGCCUUCUUAUUAAACCAUCACUGUAUUUUCAGCAACAUUUUGUGGGGGGAGAGAAGUUGUAUUAGUGUUGGGAUAGUAAAUACCCAGAAUACUCCCAUGAAUCCAGAUAUUUACUUUUUUUUUUUCUAACAGUGUAUUCAGAGCUGACUCAGCUGUGAUGUAUCUUUCAAGUUCAGUAGAAAGACUCUCUGUUUUCUCUGGGUGUUCUCUGAUUGUACAUAUGCAGUGAAUCAAAGCUUAUUCACAUGAAUACGCAUUUUCCCCUGGCUCAGUUCCUUGAAUGGAAAAGCCCCAUGUUCUCUUACAGGCCUUAACCGAUAUAAUUUAAAAAUUAAAAAUAAAUUAAAAUAUAACAGUAUUAUGAAUCUCCACCAUGUCCCGCAACUAAUCCAACACAUGUUUGGGUAUCGGGACAAAAGUAGAGUUAUAUAAUGAGCUAAGUCACACUUCAAUAAUAAAAUCCACUAAAAAUAUUUCAGAUUGAUGGAUAAUCGACAGAAGGAAAUGAUGUACUCCAGGAGAGAUAAAAAUCAUAGGUUUGGAAUUAAUGAAAAAUACAGAGAAGCACUUACGUUGUACCUAACACGUUAUUCUCUUGCAUUUAUUAUACCCCAUGGUGAGGGAACAAAUCUUUCCCUGAGUCCGCACAGGCACUGAAUUAUGAUCAAUGUCAGUUGGGAGACAGGAAAUGUGUUAGUGGUUGUAAAUUUGUGAUUACUUUUAAGAAACUGAAAACCAUGAGGUUUGCUUAACACUUGAGAAAACCCAGGCUAAAACUUCCUGUAGAAAGCGAGACGUGGGAAACUGGCGAAGCUGCUACCAGCCGCCGGCGCAAGGAGCGCGAGAGUCCUGGGUGCGCGCAGGGCACUUACUUUCUAUCCUCCAGCAAGCAUCGUCGCAAGCCUCCCAGGUGUAGAAAUUGUUGGCGUUGCCCUCGCAGCCCCCGUACAGGAACUGGCGGCAGCUCUGCGUGUACCUGUCGUAGUAGUAACGGAGAAGUAGGGCCCGGCAGGGUCCGUAGUCUAGGGGCAGGAGACAGAUCUCCGCGUUAUUUCCUGAAGAAGGGGCAGAAGGAGAGCAAAAGAGAGGGAAAGUGGUCAGGCGUAGCUCCUAGGAGGAAAGAACAUCCCGGGGAGUUCUGUCCCCUUCCGAGCGGAGGGGCCUCUGCAGAGAAAGUGCAAACUUGGGAGCGAGUCCCCCCUGCCAGCGGAGCGCGCGGCAGGGACCUGGAGAAAGCGAGGCUUGGAGGGCGCCUACACGGGGCCCCAUGGCCCGCUGCGCCCUCUCCGCCGGUUGGGGAGAGAAGCUCCUGGAGCGGCCAGAUACCUGUUGGCUCCUGAGCAGCAUCGCCCAGUGCAGCCUCCGUCAGGAAAAGCAGCAGAAUCGACAGCCCCAGGGGGCGAGCGGGGUCCAUGGUGCAGGGGGUCGGGCGGCCCGCUGGGCAAGGCGUCCGAGAAAGCGCCUGGCGGGAGGAGGUGCGCGGCUUUCUGCUCCAGGCGGCCCGGGUGCCCGCUUUAUGCGGGGCGAGCGUCCGGCCGACCCCCGCCGGGGCGGAGCCUGAGGGGUGGCUGAUUCAUGCACGGGGACUGUCACCCCGCCGCCCCCGCGCUGCAAACUGUGUAAGAGGGAGAGGAAUUCCCCGCCAAGUUGAAAAGUUGAACCUGCCUCCCAAACUUUCUCCUGUAGUCCAGACGGGGACGCCCUGAGGGAGCGUUUGUGUCAGUAAUGGGAAAUCUGCAAGCUAGACGGAAAUGACCUGCUAGUGAUUGCGCUGUAAAGAAGCCGGAAUCCACCUCUUGAAGGCAUGAAGUUCAGGUAUUUGAAAGGCUGGUGGAGAGAAAGUGCGGAGUUCUUGGGUCAGAGCGGAGCGGGAUUCGUUGCAAUGGACCUUCAGAUUAGAUUAGAAAUGUAAAUAAGUGUAUAUUUAUAUUUAUACACACAGAUUUCAAUCGAG